AGAGUUUGAUCCUGGCUCAGAACGAACGCCAGCGGCGUGGAUUAGGCAUGCAAGUCGAACGUGAUCCGUAGCAAUACGGUGAAAGUGGCGGAAGGGUGAGUAAUGCAUAGAUAACCUACCUCCAAGUCUGGGAUAACUCCGGGAAACUGGAGCUAAUACCGGAUGGGGUCGCGGGACUGCCUGGUUCUGCGACUAAAGGG
Molecule: ribosomal RNA, 200 nt
Filed under: uncultured bacterium
Lineage: Bacteria
Description: partial 16S ribosomal RNA
Rfam family: Bacterial small subunit ribosomal RNA
Source: RNAcentral